Non-coding RNA from Paramormyrops kingsleyae, 307 nucleotides. NCBI's taxonomy places the organism in Eukaryota, Metazoa, Chordata, Actinopteri, Osteoglossiformes, Mormyridae. The record is from RefSeq and is a predicted model, not a curated record.
UGUACAUAGAGUGGAAUCGACACCUAAGGAAAUAAAGCCAAAUAGCCUACAUAAAAUAACCAUGUGUAAUCCGACGAAUCUGCCGAGCUGUUGCUCUCGAAUCAUGAACGCAAUUCGUGAUUUUUUUUGCUGCUUGUGGCGUGCGAUUUGUUGCCUAUGUUGUUGUUGUCCCUCUUCCAACAAUAACUAUGACAUUCUGCAUGAUUCCAUUCCAGUCCACGUGCUGGUUGCUGGAGAAACUUUCCAGACCCAUGAAACCUUCAUGCAAAAGCUGAAGAUAAACCCCUGCAGUGCAGAGAGCAGCAGC